UUGGACACACACAGAGGGAAGGCGGCCAUGUGACAAUGGGGGCAGAGAUGGGAGUGAUGCGUCCACAAGCCACGGGACACCAAGGAUGGCUGGCACCACCAGAAGCUGGAGAGGCAAGGAUCUGCCUCUAGAGGCCCCAGAAGGAACCAGCCCUGCCCAGACCUUGACUUUGGACCUGCAGCCUCCAGAACUGUGAGAGAGUAAAUGUCUGUUGCUUUAAGCCCCAGGUUUACAGACAUACAGGUCCCGAGACACUGAUACUGCCCUCAACACGCCAGGGUGCUCACAGGCUCACGCCCUCUUGCCAGCCUGUCACCCCUCAGAGGGAAAUAAACAUCGCUGCCCUCCUGCAGCUGGCAGACCCCAUGGGAACCCCCAGAGCAGCAGUUACACAGUGGGGGUGAAGCCACAACAGGAGAGGGAAGGGCUCUGUGGGAAAGGGAGAAGCACGGCCAGGUCGCAGAGGGCAGAAGCAGAUGGGGACCCCUCCCAGGCCUCCAGCCAGUGUGGCUGGGCACAGAGCCCGUAGGUGGCCUUUUGGAGGCCACUCUGGUGACGAGAAGUGCGAUGUACCCCACCUCUGUUUCUCCUUCAAAGCUCAGAGUCUGCUUCUCCCACUUCACCUGUGGAGAAACUGAGGCCAAAGGAGGCUUCAGUGUUGGCCCAGGACCCCACAGCAUGCAGUGAAGAAUGGGGGUCAAACCACAAGACAAUACUCCCUCCAAAGUCGGGCUCUGUGCGCAGCGGCGCUCAGCUGAAGAUGGCCCUGGCUGACGGUCCCAACAGGAUCCUGGGAGCUGUCAAGGCCCCAUCCGGUCCCAGGGUCCCCAGAGCUGUGUCUGCCUCCUGCCUGAGCUGCCCUGAGAAGUGAGGCUCUUCCCCCUGCCCUGGGACGGGGCAACACCUCACGCCAGGCACUGCACCCCGACCCCGCCAUUCACGACAGCUUUACAAGAAGUGCGGCCCCACUGCCAACCACCUGACCAGCUUCCCAGCGUGAUGACUGUGAUGGCAGCAGCGGGGCCCACCAAAGCCCAGCCAGCCGCCAGACCCGGACACCACAGGCCACAGGCCACCCACGCCCCCACUGCCGGAGCCUCGCCCAGACGAGGGCACUGCCCAGGUCUGAACCACCACUGGCUCCGGCCACGGCCAAGCACAGAAGUCAGGAAUGCAGCAAAGGCGGUCACUGUUCCCUUCUAGGCACAGAGACAGGGAAAGGUGAGGACCGGGCACUGAGCGGUAGAUGCCAAGAGCCAGGAUGGGGACUCACAGCCACAGCGGAUGACCCAGAGGAACCCUGGAAAUACCAGCCAGAAGCCCCUGGUACCGUGGGGAUGGGGAGGGGACAUCUGGAGGUGCCACCAUAAUAAGAGGACCAUUUU
This 1385-nucleotide long non-coding RNA is filed under the name Rhinolophus ferrumequinum (greater horseshoe bat). RNAcentral's name for it is "lncRNA (ENSRFEG00010020477.1)". The record is from RNAcentral. Lineage: Eukaryota; Metazoa; Chordata; Mammalia; Chiroptera; Rhinolophidae.